UACGUAGGCAGCGAGCGUUGUUCGGAGUUACUGGGCGUAAAGAGCGCGUAGGCGGUUUUCUAAGUUUGGUGUGAAAUCUCCCGGCUCAACUGGGAGGGUGCGCCGAAGACUGGAAGGCUUGAGUAUGGGAGAGGUAAGCGGAAUUCCUGGUGUAGCGGUGAAAUGCGUAGAUAUCAGGAGGAACACCUGCGGUGUAGACGGCUUACUGGACCAUAACUGACGCUGAGGCACGAAAGCGUGGGUAGCAAACAGG
Molecule: ribosomal RNA, 253 nt
Filed under: uncultured bacterium
Lineage: Bacteria
Description: partial 16S ribosomal RNA
Rfam family: Bacterial small subunit ribosomal RNA
Source: RNAcentral